Long non-coding RNA from Syngnathoides biaculeatus (alligator pipefish), 495 nucleotides. RefSeq lists it as uncharacterized. The transcript is spliced from 3 exons. Lineage: Eukaryota; Metazoa; Chordata; Actinopteri; Syngnathiformes; Syngnathidae. The record is from RefSeq and is a predicted model, not a curated record.
UCAGUCACUCACUAUCGUUGACGCAGCACGGGCAGUGGUGGGAAGUCAUGAAGUACAAAUAUUUGUUCUUGGAGGUGGGAAAGGGUUCGCCUCACAGUUCUGAGGUACCGAGUUCAAUCCCAGACCCGCCUGCGUGGAGUUUGCAUGUUGUCCCCGUGCCUGCGUGGGUUUCUCUCCCCCCCACAUCCCAAAAACCCGAAACACUAAUUGGCCCAAGGUGUGAUUGUUAGUUCGCUUGUUUGUCUCGACGUGCCCCUGCGAUAUGCUUGGCAACUGUUGUAACAUGUUGACAUGCGGACACACGUGAGAAAAGCACGAACGUUGCCACAUCUGGGCCGUCAUUUAAAGCAGCACUGGGCACGCUGUCCAGAUCCACGUGGAUGCUGCUGGGUUCGCCGCUGCCCACCCAGCCGAUGGGCGUGCGGUUGAAAGAAGGCCGCAGGUUGAUCUCGUGCCCGUACACGACCGUGGGCUCGGCCACCACUUUGGUCUUCU